Ctenopharyngodon idella (grass carp) is the source of this 909-nucleotide long non-coding RNA. RefSeq lists it as uncharacterized. The record is from RefSeq and is a predicted model, not a curated record. The transcript is spliced from 2 exons. NCBI's taxonomy places the organism in Eukaryota, Metazoa, Chordata, Actinopteri, Cypriniformes, Xenocyprididae.
CUGCUUUAUAAUGAAAUCUUCAGCAAGAUUUAGAUGGUCAUUCUCUAUUGGAUGACCUUUGACCUGUUCUACAGUAUCAUGAUGAUAUCAAAUCUGCAGCACAGGUAUUAAAUGCUCUCAGCAUCAAAGUCUGAAUGAAACUGAUCAUUAAAACAGUGUUUAGAGGGAGAAGAUCCACCCAAAAUAACAUGAAGUAAAUCAGGAGUGUCUGUUUCUGAAAAUGAUCAAUAGAAAUUUAUUAGCAAAGAUACUAAAUGACAAAACAGUGUUUCUGCUGUCUUCAGGGAAAUGAUCUGGAGUGUGUUUGCAUAUUGAUCAGAUGCUUCAGUGCUCUGAGAGUGUUUAUAGUGCUGUGAGUUUAACACUUCAUCACUGACACACACAACAAUCUUCAUCAACAUGACCUUCAUCAUCAUCUUCAUCUGGACUCUCACAGCGUUUGCUCAAGAGUGUAGAGGACAGAUCACCGUCACUCAGAGUCCCUCAAUGACAGCAGCUCAACCAGGACAAACUGUGAACAUCAACUGUAAAACCAGCAGAGAUGUGUACAGUUAUUCUGGGACACACUAUUUCAGCUGGUACUUACAGAAACCUGGAGAAGCUCCUAAACUCCUGAUUUAUGCAUCAAGCAGCCGUCAGUCAGGAACUCCAUCUAGAUUCAGUGGCAGUGGAUCUAACAGUGAUUUCACUCUGACCAUCAGUGGAGUCCAGACUGAAGAUGCUGGACAUUAUUACUGUCUGAGUUUAUACUGGCCUGAGAGCAUUCCGUGGUUCACACAGUGAUAAAGAGUCGUACAAAAACCUCCGUCAGUCAGAGUCACAGUGACUGAACUGAUACUGCAGCUGCUCAAAGGAGGAUCUGAAACAACAUCGUCACACAAACAUCUGAAAUAAAAUCAUCUAAAUUAA